RNAcentral lists this ribosomal RNA (329 nucleotides) under uncultured bacterium. Its description in RNAcentral is "bacterial SSU rRNA". It matches the Rfam family "Bacterial small subunit ribosomal RNA", at positions 471 to 793 of the family's 1533-position model. The record is from RNAcentral.
GACGUUACCUACAGAAGAAGCACCGGCUAACUCCGUGCCAGCAGCCGCGGUAAUACGGAGGGUGCGAGCGUUAAUCGGAAUUACUGGGCGUAAAGCGCAUGCAGGCGGCCUGUUAAGUCAGAUGUGAAAGACCCGGGCGUUAACCUCGGAAUUGCAUUUGUAAACUAGGCAGGCUAGAGUCUUGUAGAGGGGGGUAGGAAUUUCAGGUGUAGCGGUGAAAUAGCGUAGAGAUCUGAAGGAAUACCAGUGGCGAAGGCGGCCCCCUCGGACAAAGACUGACGCUCAGAUGCGAAAGCGUGGGGAGCAAACAGGAUUAGAUACCCUGGUAG